AACAGCGGCUAGAGGCAUGCUGGAAAGCAAGUGACACAAAGAAGGCUCUUAAGGCCCUAGAUUCAUAUACCUUUCCCUCCUCCUUGGUCCCAAUACCUAGAUCUCUCCUCAAAGCCACCUCCUCCCUCAGUCUUUUGGGUCUCCAGGCCAAGGUUCUGCUCACACUCACACACUGCAGAAGCCCAAGGACUCCACGGAGUUAGACUCACUCUCCUCCCCCUCUCCCAGGCUGGGCUGGGAGGCGACUGUCUCAGGUCUGAACACACCCACCACCUACAGCUCUCUUCCCUAAGGACCAAGGCAUGGAUAACCAGAGGACAGAGGAAACUCAGACA
RNAcentral lists this long non-coding RNA (335 nucleotides) under Mus caroli (Ryukyu mouse). Its description in RNAcentral is "lncRNA (MGP_CAROLIEiJ_G0002353.1)". The record is from RNAcentral. Lineage: Eukaryota; Metazoa; Chordata; Mammalia; Rodentia; Muridae.